UUCCCAGGGGUCCAGUGGUUAGGGCUUGGCGCUUUCACUGCCUGGACCCAGGUUCAAUCCCUGGUCGGGAAA
RNAcentral lists this transfer RNA (72 nucleotides) under Bos taurus (domestic cattle). It matches the Rfam family "tRNA". From Rfam's summary of the family: Transfer RNA (tRNA) molecules are approximately 80 nucleotides in length. Their secondary structure includes four short double-helical elements and three loops (D, anti-codon, and T loops). RNAcentral also lists the same sequence under 2 other names. The record is from Rfam by way of RNAcentral. Lineage: Eukaryota; Metazoa; Chordata; Mammalia; Artiodactyla; Bovidae.